This 253-nucleotide ribosomal RNA is filed under the name uncultured bacterium. RNAcentral's name for it is "partial 16S ribosomal RNA". It matches the Rfam family "Bacterial small subunit ribosomal RNA", at positions 524 to 776 of the family's 1533-position model. The record is from RNAcentral.
UACGUAGGGCGCAAGCGUUGUCCGGAAUUAUUGGGCGUAAAGAGCUCGUAGGCGGUUUGUCGCGUCUGCCGUGAAAGUCCGGGGCUUAACCCCGGAUCUGCGGUGGGUACGGGCAGACUAGAGUGCAGUAGGGGAGACUGGAAUUCCUGGUGUAGCGGUGAAAUGCGCAGAUAUCAGGAGGAACACCGAUGGCGAAGGCAGGUCUCUGGGCUGUAACUGACGCUGAGGAGCGAAAGCAUGGGGAGCAAACAGG